Pseudonaja textilis is the source of this 782-nucleotide non-coding RNA. Lineage: Eukaryota; Metazoa; Chordata; Lepidosauria; Squamata; Elapidae. The record is from RefSeq and is a predicted model, not a curated record.
AGGUCGGACAGAUUAUAUCAAGAGGCCUUUUUUCCCCCCAUAAAGCGGGUGAAUUGGGCGUGGGUUCCGCGCAUUAGCUGAACCUCCACGAUGGAAGACACCGGACAGAGAGUUUGCGGCUCCUGUUGCAACUAAAGGCGAAUCUCUCCCAAGAGUUCUUGCGUUGUUUUUAUUCCUUGCAGGUAAGUUGACACAGGUGAGUAAAAUGAACAGAGAGAGUCCCAUAGGUUGAUUCAGAGCAAUCCCCACCUAAUGGCACUUCUGGUUGUAUUGGCUGUGGGGGGCGGUUUAAAUUCCCGUCUUCUCUGUGCAUUUCAGGCUUUUAGCAAAAGCAACAGACACUCUAGAAAAUAACUUUUUGGUUGCUUCUAUUGGUUGCUGUGAACAGGAACUGCUACAGGAACAUUGGGGGUUGUGGUACCCAUGUGGAUAAUGGUAUGGAUGGCUAUCUGAUCUCCCUUCAGCUUUCAUGGGUUCAAUCCUGCUAAGCUGUGGCAGCAUUUCUCUGCUAAAUGCAGGAGAAAAAGCAUUAUAAAUGUUGCAUAUAGUCCAUAUAAACGUUCCUUAAAGCAUACCUGUCCACAAAGCAGUGAAAACAGAAGACAUUUUCCAGUGGCAGUAAAGAUGUCUCAAAGAAAUAGGGUGCCCUUUAGAUAAAACAAAUUAAUUUGUUAUAGUCAAGAAUACUUAGUUUGUUUCGCAGCCUACAAACUUACUUGCUGGCUGUGAUACUAUCUAUUGGCAUUUUAUAUAACUCUUUCCAUUUCUAAGGAUUUGGUUUU